Quercus robur (English oak) is the source of this 99-nucleotide small nucleolar RNA. RefSeq annotates it as small nucleolar RNA Z266. Lineage: Eukaryota; Viridiplantae; Streptophyta; Magnoliopsida; Fagales; Fagaceae. The transcript has a single exon. The record is from RefSeq and is a predicted model, not a curated record.
GAUUGGCUAGAAUGAUGAUUCAAUUAGAUGUGUGAAAGGUGAAAUCCUUUUUGAACAUAAUUAUUGAGGCAUAUAUAAUUGUCUGACUUGUUGCCAAUC